AAAAUUACAGGAGUGACAGUAGGGAAAAAAAAUUAGGAAAUGAAAAUUACAGAAGGAGUGAUAGUAGGGAAGUGACCUGCAAUAUCUAUAUCUAUACUACUUAUAAAAGCGUGAGUUUUGAAUUUUUUUCUCUUUCCAAAAAUGCCUCUAUCUUUGUUUACUAAUAUUUUUAUGUCCAGUAAUUUUUAACCAAUCAUUUCAAUUAAUUAACUAAGUAAUAAUUUAUUCCCCAAUAAAGAUAAAUAUUUUCCUUCUAACGCGUAAUAUCCACACCCGCCAAUUCUUUCGCAACGUAAUAUCCGUGAAUUUCUCAAAUAUCUCAACAUAAUUUGUAAUACACUGAAUUUUUGCAAAUUGCGAAAUUCGAGUGUGAGGAAUGAUAUGUGGAACCCUCCCACAUGUUCAAAAGGGUUUAAAGAUGUUUACACAUAUGUUUGAGAGUGAUCGGAAUGUCGGAAACAAGAAAGUGCAUUGAACCGGCGAAAAUCAGCUUUUUCUGCUUGC
Molecule: long non-coding RNA, 504 nt
Filed under: Ananas comosus (pineapple)
Lineage: Eukaryota; Viridiplantae; Streptophyta; Magnoliopsida; Poales; Bromeliaceae
Description: long non-coding RNA (ACOM_LNC030425)
Source: RNAcentral